Molecule: ribosomal RNA, 2929 nt
Filed under: Bacillus cereus
Lineage: Bacteria; Bacillati; Bacillota; Bacilli; Caryophanales; Bacillaceae
Also listed under: 1 other name
Description: 23S ribosomal RNA
Rfam family: Bacterial large subunit ribosomal RNA
Source: RNAcentral
UUUGGUUAAGUUAGAAAGGGCGCACGGUGGAUGCCUUGACACUAGGAGUCGAUGAAGGACGGGACUAACGCCGAUAUGCUUCGGGGAGCUGUAAGUAAGCUUUGAUCCGAAGAUUUCCGAAUGGGGAAACCCACCAUACGUAAUGGUAUGGUAUCCUUAUCUGAAUACAUAGGGUAAGGAAGACAGACCCAGGGAACUGAAACAUCUAAGUACCUGGAGGAAGAGAAAGCAAAUGCGAUUUCCUGAGUAGCGGCGAGCGAAACGGAACAUAGCCCAAACCAAGAGGCUUGCCUCUUGGGGUUGUAGGACAUUCUAUACGGAGUUACAAAGGAACGAGGUAGACGAAGCGACCUGGAAAGGUCCGUCGUAGAGGGUAACAACCCCGUAGUCGAAACUUCGUUCUCUCUUGAAUGUAUCCUGAGUACGGCGGAACACGUGAAAUUCCGUCGGAAUCUGGGAGGACCAUCUCCCAAGGCUAAAUACUCCCUAGUGAUCGAUAGUGAACCAGUACCGUGAGGGAAAGGUGAAAAGCACCCCGGAAGGGGAGUGAAAGAGAUCCUGAAACCGUGUGCCUACAAAUAGUCAGAGCCCGUUAACGGGUGAUGGCGUGCCUUUUGUAGAAUGAACCGGCGAGUUACGAUCCCGUGCGAGGUUAAGCUGAAGAGGCGGAGCCACAGCGAAAGCGAGUCUGAAUAGGGCGUUUAGUACGUGGUCGUAGACCCGAAACCAGGUGAUCUACCCAUGUCCAGGGUGAAGUUCAGGUAACACUGAAUGGAGGCCCGAACCCACGCACGUUGAAAAGUGCGGGGAUGAGGUGUGGGUAGCGGAGAAAUUCCAAUCGAACCUGGAGAUAGCUGGUUCUCCCCGAAAUAGCUUUAGGGCUAGCCUUAAGUGUAAGAGUCUUGGAGGUAGAGCACUGAUUGGACUAGGGGUCCUCAUCGGAUUACCGAAUUCAGUCAAACUCCGAAUGCCAAUGACUUAUCCUUAGGAGUCAGACUGCGAGUGAUAAGAUCCGUAGUCAAAAGGGAAACAGCCCAGACCGCCAGCUAAGGUCCCAAAGUGUGUAUUAAGUGGAAAAGGAUGUGGAGUUGCUUAGACAACUAGGAUGUUGGCUUAGAAGCAGCCACCAUUUAAAGAGUGCGUAAUAGCUCACUAGUCGAGUGACUCUGCGCCGAAAAUGUACCGGGGCUAAAUACACCACCGAAGCUGCGGAUUGAUACCAAUGGUAUCAGUGGUAGGGGAGCGUUCUAAGGACAGUGAAGUCAGACCGGAAGGACUGGUGGAGUGCUUAGAAGUGAGAAUGCCGGUAUGAGUAGCGAAAGACGGGUGAGAAUCCCGUCCACCGAAUGCCUAAGGUUUCCUGAGGAAGGCUCGUCCGCUCAGGGUUAGUCAGGACCUAAGCCGAGGCCGACAGGCGUAGGCGAUGGACAACAGGUUGAUAUUCCUGUACCACCUCUUUAUCGUUUGAGCAAUGGAGGGACGCAGAAGGAUAGAAGAAGCGUGCGAUUGGUUGUGCACGUCCAAGCAGUUAGGCUGAUAAGUAGGCAAAUCCGCUUAUCGUAAAGGCUGAGCUGUGAUGGGGAAGCUCCUUAUGGAGCGAAGUCUUUGAUUCCCCGCUGCCAAGAAAAGCUUCUAGCGAGAUAAAAGGUGCCUGUACCGCAAACCGACACAGGUAGGCGAGGAGAGAAUCCUAAGGUGUGCGAGAGAACUCUGGUUAAGGAACUCGGCAAAAUGACCCCGUAACUUCGGGAGAAGGGGUGCUUUCUUAACGGAAAGCCGCAGUGAAUAGGCCCAAGCGACUGUUUAGCAAAAACACAGCUCUCUGCGAAGCCGUAAGGCGAAGUAUAGGGGGUGACACCUGCCCGGUGCUGGAAGGUUAAGGAGAGGGGUUAGCGUAAGCGAAGCUCUGAACUGAAGCCCCAGUAAACGGCGGCCGUAACUAUAACGGUCCUAAGGUAGCGAAAUUCCUUGUCGGGUAAGUUCCGACCCGCACGAAAGGUGUAACGAUUUGGGCACUGUCUCAACCAGAGACUCGGUGAAAUUAUAGUACCUGUGAAGAUGCAGGUUACCCGCGACAGGACGGAAAGACCCCGUGGAGCUUUACUGUAGCCUGAUAUUGAAUUUUGGUACAGUUUGUACAGGAUAGGCGGGAGCCUUUGAAACCGGAGCGCUAGCUUCGGUGGAGGCGCUGGUGGGAUACCGCCCUGACUGUAUUGAAAUUCUAACCUACGGGUCUUAUCGACCCGGGAGACAGUGUCAGGUGGGCAGUUUGACUGGGGCGGUCGCCUCCUAAAGUGUAACGGAGGCGCCCAAAGGUUCCCUCAGAAUGGUUGGAAAUCAUUCGUAGAGUGCAAAGGCAUAAGGGAGCUUGACUGCGAGACCUACAAGUCGAGCAGGGACGAAAGUCGGGCUUAGUGAUCCGGUGGUUCCGCAUGGAAGGGCCAUCGCUCAACGGAUAAAAGCUACCCCGGGGAUAACAGGCUUAUCUCCCCCAAGAGUCCACAUCGACGGGGAGGUUUGGCACCUCGAUGUCGGCUCAUCGCAUCCUGGGGCUGUAGUCGGUCCCAAGGGUUGGGCUGUUCGCCCAUUAAAGCGGUACGCGAGCUGGGUUCAGAACGUCGUGAGACAGUUCGGUCCCUAUCCGUCGUGGGCGUAGGAAAUUUGAGAGGAGCUGUCCUUAGUACGAGAGGACCGGGAUGGACGCACCGCUGGUGUACCAGUUGUUCUGCCAAGGGCAUAGCUGGGUAGCUAUGUGCGGAAGGGAUAAGUGCUGAAAGCAUCUAAGCAUGAAGCCCCCCUCAAGAUGAGAUUUCCCAUAGCGUAAGCUAGUAAGAUCCCUGAAAGAUGAUCAGGUUGAUAGGUUCGAGGUGGAAGCAUGGUGACAUGUGGAGCUGACGAAUACUAAUAGAUCGAGGACUUAACCAUAUAA